GAAAAAACCAGCGGGCACAGUAAGUAAUGUGGUUAGAGUGUGGUGGUGUAGAUAGAUGAAACAACAGGCAUUGAGUAAGUGUCUUAGUCAAUCUUAGGCGCAAAUCAGAGAAGAUAUGAAAAAUUGUUUCUUAAGAUUUGUCAAGAGAAUUCACAUAAAUGUUAGCACUAAUAUGAGAAUUUCAUUAUGUAUCACAGAAUUAUGUUGACUGCAACAACAAUAAUAGAACAUAACCAUGGUUAUCAUCAGUAUGUUCAGUGUAAUUAAAAUGAUAUCUACAGCUAUGUAACUGCAUGUCUUUCUGUUUAGAUACCACUGCAUAGAUACAACACUGUAAUACAUCUGAGACAAGAAGGAACAACACAGAAAAAGACCCUUCCUGCCUUCAAGACGACUUACUCUCGUUGGGCACAGGGCUGGAUGAGGAGGGAUACUCAAUGACAGUAUUAUGCGAUAACAAAGAAGAGAAGCCUGUGAGAUGGAACCCUGUUUUCCCUCUUCACAAAAGCAUAAGCUCUUGGUGAGAGCCCGCAGAGGGGAGAGCCCUUAUGUGGAUUCAUGAUGGAGAGAAGAGAUCUUAGGGGCUCUGCCAGGAUAAGACCUUCUUGAAGAUAAUCUUUUGUGCUACUAGUCCUGGUCUCUGGAUGCCAAGAACAGGUCCACCUUCCCAUUGACAGUUCCUGAAAGAGUAACAGGAGAAGUUUCAAGGAUAUUGGAUAAACACCUGACAGGACUUUUUAUCUGCAUUGUGGAGACCAUUUCAUUUUUCUUAUCUAAACUGUACAGAUACAGAAAGCCUCUGGGCAGACCAUCUGGAUAGAGUGAGAUAAGGAAACUCAGGAUCUAGUUGUUCCUUACCUUACUGUAGAACUCCUACAUUGCACCG
Molecule: long non-coding RNA, 886 nt
Filed under: Equus asinus (donkey)
Lineage: Eukaryota; Metazoa; Chordata; Mammalia; Perissodactyla; Equidae
Description: lncRNA (ENSEASG00005030840.1)
Source: RNAcentral